AUGGUAUGGAUAGUUCUAUUGUAGAAAAAAAAAAUGAUCAAGAGUCCUUUUCUAGAACGAAUACUGAAAUUCAUGGAGUGGUGGGGAAUAAUGAACCUAUGGCAGUCCAACACCAAGAAGAUUCAGAAGUGCAACCUCCUGAGAUACCUGUUUUGUCUGAGAGUCAUCAGUCUGAGAUUAACUUGGGAUCUCAUGAUAUUGAUGCUCACAGGCACACAACUUAUGAACCUGUGGCUGUCCAACUCCAAGAAGAUGCAGGGGUGCAUCCUACUGAGAUACCUGUUUUGUCUGAGAGUCAUCAGUCGGAGGUUAAUUUGGGAUCUCAUGAUAUUGAUGCCUGCGGGCACACAAAUAUUGUUUCUCAUGUGGAGGAGCUUGACAAUUCUCAAAAUGUUGAAAUAAACCAUGUUGGAGGAAAUAUUGCAA
This 426-nucleotide long non-coding RNA is filed under the name Phaseolus vulgaris (common bean). Its description in RNAcentral is "long non-coding RNA (PVUL_LNC001419)". Lineage: Eukaryota; Viridiplantae; Streptophyta; Magnoliopsida; Fabales; Fabaceae. The record is from RNAcentral.